Molecule: ribosomal RNA, 507 nt
Filed under: uncultured bacterium
Lineage: Bacteria
Description: partial 16S ribosomal RNA
Source: RNAcentral
GGAGUUAGCCGGUGCUUCUUCUGUGAGUGAUGUCCUUCCUGCCGGUUAUUGACCCGCAGGCCUUCUUCCUCACUGAAAGUGCUUUACAACCCGAAGGCCUUCUUCACACACGCGGCAUGGCUGGAUCAGGGUUGCCCCCAUUGUCCAAUAUUCCCCACUGCUGCCUCCCGUAGGAGUCUGGGCCGUGUCUCAGUCCCAGUGUGGCUGAUCAUCCUCUCAGACCAGCUACGGAUCGUCGCCUUGGUGAGCCGUUACCUCACCAACCAGCUAAUCCGACAUAGGCUCAUCCGAUAGCGCGAGGCCCGAAGGUCCCCCGCUUUCCCCCGUAGGGCGUAUGAGGUAUUAGCCUGGGUUUCCCCAGGUUAUCCCCCACUACCGGGCAGAUUCCUAUGCAUUACUCACCCGUCCGCCGCUCGCCACCAGGGAGCAAGCUCCCCGUGCUGCCGCUCGACUUGCAUGUGUAGCUCGCCGCCACGCGUCAUCUGAGCCGAGAAUACAACUACUCGA